CCCUGCCUUUUGUACACACCGCCCGUCGUUACUACCGAUUGAAUGGCUUAGUGAGGACUCGGGAUUGGGAGUUGGACCGGCAACGGAACCAGCUCUCGAAAACCUGUUCAAACUUGGUCAUUUAGAGGAAGUAC
Molecule: ribosomal RNA, 134 nt
Filed under: uncultured eukaryote
Lineage: Eukaryota
Description: partial small subunit ribosomal RNA
Rfam family: Eukaryotic small subunit ribosomal RNA
Source: RNAcentral